Molecule: long non-coding RNA, 572 nt
Organism: Gallus gallus (chicken)
Lineage: Eukaryota; Metazoa; Chordata; Aves; Galliformes; Phasianidae
Source: Ensembl
ACUGCAGUGUAUAAGUGGUGAAUUCUUGUUAAUGGCUGGCUGAAACAAUUUCCCAAAGUCUUAGCACGAGUGCUGUGCAGUUUUUCCCCCCAACAGCUAUUGGUAAAUGGUGCGAGGAAAGGAUUACCCUCUUAUAAAAAUUCUCCCGGUCUCGUAGUAGGACAGGCUGUCCUAUUCCUGUUCAUCACAAGCUGGUGAUCGUCCCGCUGCACUCAGCCCUGGGGAGGCUGCAGUGCUGUGCUCAGCUCUGGGCCCCUCACUACAAGACCAGACACCGAGGCCCUGCAGUGUGUCCAGAGAAGGGCAUGGAGCUGUGAGGGGUCUGUAGUGGAAGUUGCAUGAGGAGCAGCUGAGGAAAUGGGUUCAGUCUGGAGAAGAGGAGGCUCAGGGGAGACCUUAUUGCUCUCUGCACCUCCCUGGAAAGAGGCUGUGUGGAGGCAGGAGUCGACCUCUGCUCCCAGCAGCUGAGGUCAAAGCCCUUAGAGGAGGGGAUGAAAUGCACCGCGUGUGACCGUGCUGCUCAGCCUCUUCUUUGCAUGUCCUGGGGCCUCCGAGCUGCUGAUCGGGCAUCU